GUUCCGCCUAAAGGGGGUAGGAUGAGAACCUGUAGGUUCGACCAAAUCGCCGGGAGCGAUUUUGAACGCCGUGCGCGGCGUCCCGAAGGGCGGAGGGCAGGAUGCCCGGAGUAAUCCUACCCCCUCCACUA
Molecule: small RNA, 131 nt
Filed under: Nitrococcus sp.
Lineage: Bacteria; Pseudomonadati; Pseudomonadota; Gammaproteobacteria; Chromatiales; Ectothiorhodospiraceae
Description: RtT sRNA
Rfam family: RtT RNA
About the family: This family represents a bacterial cis-regulatory element known as RtT RNA. The exact function of RtT is unknown although it is thought that it may be involved in changing the cellular response in relation to amino acid starvation.
Source: RNAcentral